UUUGCGCAUGGGCGAAGCCUGACGCAGCGACGCCGCGUGGGGGAUGAAGGCCUUCGGGUUGUAAACCCCUUUCCUCAGGGACGAUAAUGACGGUACCCGCAGAAAAAGCCCCGGGCAACUACGUGCCAACAGCCGCGGUAAUACCUAGGGGGCAAGCGUUGUCCGGAUUUAUUGGGCGUAAAGGGCUCGUAGGCGGGUUGGUAAGUCCGCUGUGAAAACUCCCGGCUCAACCCGGAGACGGCCCUCGAUACUGCCAUGACUAGAGGCCGGUAAAGGAAGGUGGAAUUCCCGGGGUAGCGGUGAAAUGCGCAAAUAUCCGGAGGAAUACCGAUGGCGAAGGCGGCUCUCUGGGCCGUUCCUGACGCUGAGGAGCGAAAGCGUGGGGAGCAAACAGGAUUAAAUACCCUGGUAGUCCACGCCGUAAACGUUGGGUACUAGGUGUGGGGGCUAUUCAACGCCUUCCGGGCCAUAACUAACGCAUUAAGUGCCCCGCCUGGGAAGCACGCCCGCAUGGUUAAACCAAGGGGUUUUUGGGCGCGG
This 540-nucleotide ribosomal RNA is filed under the name uncultured Actinomycetes bacterium. RNAcentral's name for it is "bacterial SSU rRNA". It matches the Rfam family "Bacterial small subunit ribosomal RNA", at positions 363 to 922 of the family's 1533-position model. The record is from RNAcentral. Lineage: Bacteria; Bacillati; Actinomycetota; Actinomycetes.